GCAAUCGUUAGUUUUCCGACAUUCCGGGUUUGCCGGAGAUGGAAAAGAACUGCUAAAAUAUUUCAGCAGUAAUUGUAAUCAAAACAUACACAGCUGAGGAGAACACCUAUAACACUGGAAUGAGUUCCAGAAAAUGCAGCCGCAGUCUCAGAAAACAUAGAGAUUCAAAUGUUGACCAGAAACUCAAGGAGAAAGAAUAAUUGAACUCUUGGAAAUGAACCAGGUAAGAUUUCUUUCUAACAUUGUGUCAUGGCUAUCUCAAGACGAAGAAGAUGAAGAAGAACAUCAGCCUCAGGAAAUUCAGCUGGAAAAGUUGCCUAGCAACCAGGAGAGGCAGCUAUUGCUGGGCUCAGAAGAUCAAGAGGCGGAGCUAAUAUUUUCCCCAAUGCAAGGGCCCACUGAACAAAGGUGCUCAGUAAGACUAUUGGCCAGAAAAAAAUCUGCCCCAUAAAAAGGAACAUAUCAGUGUCACAUAUCCCCUAUAUAAGGAGAGCUGUGUGCCUCACAGAUCCAUUAGUGACUACUCUGUUUAUCUCAUUGUAUUCAACUCCUUAGCUGUCUUCUUGUUUGUUCAAACUUUGUGCCAUUAGAGUUCUGUUUCAAAACCUUUGAAAUAAAGAUAAAAGACUUA
Long non-coding RNA from Pantherophis guttatus, 631 nucleotides. RefSeq lists it as uncharacterized. NCBI's taxonomy places the organism in Eukaryota, Metazoa, Chordata, Lepidosauria, Squamata, Colubridae. The record is from RefSeq and is a predicted model, not a curated record.